Spinacia oleracea (spinach) is the source of this 1133-nucleotide long non-coding RNA. RefSeq lists it as uncharacterized. Lineage: Eukaryota; Viridiplantae; Streptophyta; Magnoliopsida; Caryophyllales; Amaranthaceae. The transcript has 3 exons. The record is from RefSeq and is a predicted model, not a curated record.
UUGGCCUCCAAGGUCUUCACUCUUCUUCUUCACUCUACUUUUCAUUAUAAACAACCAUUUUCUUUUCCGUUUCUUUUAUCCAAAAUUAGUUUAACCAAAACUGAACACCACCCCCCCUCCAUGGUUUUCUGUUUCGUUCGAACCACCACCAUCAGCCACUGAAACCAACCACUGCCACCACCGUUAACCACCACCUAUGUCUCACCUACCGCCCUACUACCACUUCUCAUCCACCACCGUAGCAGCCACCCCCCUUAGUGCUCUCCUCUCCUCGCAGCUCCGCAAAUCCCCUCCCCUGCCUCCCUCUUUUCUUCCCAGUGUUGCACCACCACAACCACGCCACCACUUCCCAUCCACCGCACCACCCCUCUAUUAAAUCUCCGCCCCCAAAUACUCCGGCGAACCAUUGCGCCGCCGCCCAAAACCGCCCAACUCACCACCCCUUCCCUGUUUUCCCCUGUUCGCGCAACACCCCCCCUCCCUUCCUCGUUAUCCUCCGCCGCUUAACCACCAUCGCCAUCACCGGCGAUACCCUGCGGCGCCGCCCUACCCCAGUCACCAGCCACCACACAAGCCGGCGUCGAGUCAGCCAGCCACACUUCCUUCCUCCCUUCGUGCUUCCCUUAGCCGUGCACCCCUCCCCUGUUCUUGCCCCCUUCCUUGUUUCUCUGCCGCCGCGAAACCACCCCCCACAUCCGUCGCAUCUCCGGCACGGCUCCGGUGCUGCUGCGCCACCCAGUACCGAACCCAGCUCCCUCCUCCCUCCUCUCUUUCCUCUGUCGUGUUUCCCUUCCCAGAAACCAAAAACCAAAUUUUGGUUUUACAACUUUGAUUUUAUUCUCAUCCAACCCAUAUUCAGUUGGGCCCAAAAACUCCAAAACUUUGGGCUUUAGAAAUCGGACUUGGAGCUCAGGAAGAAUGAUUCAUCAGACGGGAAAUAUAAAACUACGGUUGAGGUACUGCGGGGAACGAUGGAAUCGAGUAGUGGCGAGGAAUUUCACCUUAGUAUUAAUCACCUAGCUUAUGCUUAAUGUUUUAAUAGUUUAAUUAAAGAACCUUAGUAAGUUAUGUACUUUUAUUUUGGGAAUAUAAAGGAUUAUUAUAUCAAUUUUGGAGGAUUUAAUAGCUUAUGA